RNAcentral lists this ribosomal RNA (1480 nucleotides) under metagenome. RNAcentral describes it as "bacterial SSU rRNA". It matches the Rfam family "Bacterial small subunit ribosomal RNA". The record is from RNAcentral.
AGAGUUUGAUCCUGGCUCAGAUUGAACGCUGGCGGCAUGCCUUACACAUGCAAGUCGAACGGUAACAGGUUAAGCUGACGAGUGGCGAACGGGUGAGUAAUAUAUCGGAACGUGCCCAGUCGUGGGGGAUAACUGCUCGAAAGAGCAGCUAAUACCGCAUACGACCUGAGGGUGAAAGCGGGGGAUCGCAAGACCUCGCGCGACUGGAGCGGCCGAUAUCAGAUUAGGUAGUUGGUGGGGUAAAGGCUCACCAAGCCAACGAUCUGUAGCUGGUCUGAGAGGACGACCAGCCACACUGGGACUGAGACACGGCCCAGACUCCUACGGGAGGCAGCAGUGGGGAAUUUUGGACAAUGGACGAAAGUCUGAUCCAGCCAUGCCGCGUGCGGGAAGAAGGCCUUCGGGUUGUAAACCGCUUUUGUCAGGGAAGAAACGGCUUUUUCUAAUACAGAGAGCUAAUGACGGUACCUGAAGAAUAAGCACCGGCUAACUACGUGCCAGCAGCCGCGGUAAUACGUGGUGCAAGCGUUAAUCGGAAUUACUGGGCGUAAAGCGUGCGCAGGCGGUUAUGCAAGACAGAGGUGAAAUCCCCGGGCUCAACCUGGGAACUGCCUUUGUGACUGCAUAGCUAGAGUACGGUAGAGGGGGAUGGAAUUCCGCGUGUAGCAGUGAAAUGCGUAGAUAUGCGGAGGAACACCGAUGGCGAAGGCAAUCCCCUGGACCUGUACUGACGCUCAUGCACGAAAGCGUGGGGAGCAAACAGGAUUAGAUACCCUGGUAGUCCACGCCCUAAACGAUGUCAACUGGUUGUUGGGAGGGUUUCUUCUCAGUAACGUAGCUAACGCGUGAAGUUGACCGCCUGGGGAGUACGGCCGCAAGGUUGAAACUCAAGGGAAUUGACGGGGACCCGCACAAGCGGUGGAUGAUGUGGUUUAAUUCGAUGCAACGCGAAAAACCUUACCUACCCUUGACAUGUCUAGAAGUUACCAGAGAUGGUUUCGUGCUCGAAAGAGAACUAGAACACAGGUGCUGCAUGGCCGUCGUCAGCUCGUGUCGUGAGAUGUUGGGUUAAGUCCCGCAACGAGCGCAACCCUUGUCAUUAGUUGCUACGUAAGGGCACUCUAAUGAGACUGCCGGUGACAAACCGGAGGAAGGUGGGGAUGACGUCAGGUCAUCAUGGCCCUUAUGGGUAGGGCUACACACGUCAUACAAUGGCCGGGACAGAGGGCAGCCAACCCGCGAGGGGGAGCUAAUCCCAGAAACCCGGUCGUAGUCCGGAUCGCAGUCUGCAACUCGACUGCGUGAAGUCGGAAUCGCUAGUAAUCGCGGAUCAGCUUGCCGCGGUGAAUACGUUCCCGGGUCUUGUACACACCGCCCGUCACACCAUGGGAGCGGGUUCUGCCAGAAGUAGUUAGCCUAACCGCAAGGAGGGCGAUUACCACGGCAGGGUUCGUGACUGGGGUGAAGUCGUAACAAGGUA